UACGAAGGGGGCUAGCGUUGUUCGGAAUUACUGGGCGUAAAGGGCGCGUAGGCGGUGUGUCAAGUCAGGCGUGAAAGCCCCGGGCUCAACCUGGGAACCGCGCUUGAGACUGGCACGCUCGAGUUCGGGAGAGGAUGGUGGAAUUCCCAGUGUAGAGGUGAAAUUCGUAGAUAUCAGGAGGAACACCGGUGGCGAAGGCGGCUUUCUGGACGAUAACUGACGCUGAGACGCGAAAGCGUGGGGAGCAAACAGG
This 253-nucleotide ribosomal RNA is filed under the name uncultured bacterium. RNAcentral's name for it is "partial 16S ribosomal RNA". It matches the Rfam family "Bacterial small subunit ribosomal RNA", at positions 524 to 776 of the family's 1533-position model. The record is from RNAcentral.